GCCCUAAUGCGACCUUUUUUAUGUUUCCAAUUGGUGAUGUUUCCGAUCCAUUUAACUUGUCUGUCUAUUCCACUUGCGAUAAUCUUGCAUGCUGAUAUUUUGGUUUUAAUAGACAAGUCAAUAGCUCCCAAUCCUCCUAAUUCCCUACUUUUAUAUGGGUUCCCGUUUCAUAACUUCUUCCAUUGUAUUUCAUCUAAAAGUAUUAAAUUAAAGUUUAUUGAACUUUUUAACCCACUUGAGAACAUUAUUUGAGAUAAAAUAAAAGAUUUCAUUAUAUUUAUAGCUCAAAUUAUGCAAUUUCCAUUUAUCUAUAUCCUCUUUGAUUGUUUCUUCUUUUUGGGUCCAAUUAUGAUCGACACAUCCUUCAUUCUUUAUUUAUGAGUCCUAGAACUUUUAAAUGUUGGGUUUCAGGAAUAUAAACCUAAACAUUUUUUUUGAGGUUUUUCCAAUCCAAUGUAAACCUUCAUUAAACACCUGUGAUAAUAAUUUAGAUAGGUCUAGAGAAUAGGGAUGUCACAAUACCAAAAAUCCAGUAGUCGGUAACGAUACCACGGUGUGGUUUAAAAAAUAAAAAGUGAUCUUCAGACUGGCAAAUAAAACAUCUAGCGACUAGUCUUCGAUAAAUAUUCUACCUAUUAUACGGGCCGAGAGAGAUUCUCUUUGGAAUGUUAACAUAUUGGCCAUUUACAUUUUUUUUUUAAUUUAACUUGAUACCGAUGGACUCCGUACCAAAGACCAAAUUGAUCUACUGGUUUUUCGACAGGUUUUAAAAUGUCUCAGUAAUGUUUAAUAUAAAGUUCAACAUCUUCAUCCAUAAUUCGGCCGGUCCAAAAUGUGAUGACAAUCGUCUUGAUGUCCAUAUUGAUGGGGGACAAAAGUCUUUCCAACUGUCUUCGUUGGUAUUAAAUAGCUCUAAAAAGACAAUCAGAGCAUGUUCACUGUUAGAACAAAGCUGCAAACUCUUUCCGGUUUGGUAAGCUGAUGAAUGAAUGUUUCCACAUGCAACCAGCUAGACUGCAAGAGGAGCUCUCCAUCUCGGUCUCGAUUACAGUAGGUGGUAUUUCGACUUUUUAACUCUAUUAAUUUUUGCCUGUAUACCUCCAACAUUGCAUGGAGCAACAGUUAAAUCUGAAAACGACAUAAUAUUUUAAAGCAGGCAUACAUAUGACACAUUACUUCUCCAUUCUUUCCACCCUGGCUAUUCCUCGCUUGUAUGGGUGAUGGGUCUUCCAGCAGGAGUUAGGGAAUCCUCGCUGAAGUUACUCCCAGAUGCUUCAUCAGAAGGGUUGUCCUCUUUGUCUGAUAUUCCCGAAACACUGUCUUCACUGUCGGACAAAGAGUUUACUUAUUUCCCAUGAUCCUGUUUUGAAUUUACAGUGGAUUCCACAGUGUCUAGCUUAUCUUUGUUGUUGAUGAUGGUUGAUCCUUCAGUUUUUUCAAUAUCCUGCUCUUCAUCUUUAUUUCUUUUUUGGGAUUGGCCUGGCAAAACUGAUGAUGUUUGACUAAUGUUUCUCUUAAAACGGUUAGCGUAUGAUCUUGGGCAGGAAAAAAAAAGUGUGACCCAGCUCUGCACACAGUGCAGGAGGCGGUGUUGGUGCAUUCUUUCGAUUUGUGGCCACACUGCCAGCAUUUCAGUAGGCCACAAUCCUCUGCAUGAGUCUCUUCUGAAUUGCAUACAAAUCAUUCUCAUUUUUAAAGAACAUACCCUCAUCACUUGACAUGGAAAGGUUUUUUUCCCUUUUCUUUUACAUUGGAAUUAUAUAUCCAGAUAUCUGUACAGCUGCUUUGUGACAAUGUCCAUUCUUAAACACGCUAGGUUCACAAACGAAGAAACAAACCAAAUGAAAAGGUUAGAUUCACCAAUGAUUCAAUACAGCUCGGUUCAAAUGAAUACAGAGGCCAGCUCAGACACCACAACUUUUGAAAACUCACGGCGUCAUAAAGGGGGAAAUCAUCAAUCAUACCAUCAGGAUAGUUCUAGAACUCGGAACGCUGCUCGGAUCUCACUAUACGUGUGUGCACGCUGGCCAGACAGACGGUAUGUAGACAGCACCACAACACAUUUAAAACAUAAUCAUACAUCAUGGUAUAAUGUUAAAGUUCACACCUUGAUUUCUAUCAUAAUAACAUAACAAUAAUAGGGAAGAACAUUACCUUUAUCUUUGUAAUGGAAACAAUAAUGAUCAUGAACGGGUUAAAAAGGGGACACAGUAAUAUGAACCAUGUUAUAUUUCUCAUCCCACUCGGGCCUAACUACAAAUGUACACUUAUGAUAGAAUACCGCUGUUGGGAAACUGCCGUUCCCGAGGUUGGGCACACGAGGGCAGUCAAGCUCCAUCCAGCGCAACACAGAAUUUUAUGGAGAUAUUAGAGAUCCCGAUCCUCUCUGCUCUCCGGACCUGCCUGAUCCGUUUCGGAUGUCACACCUCUGGAUGGAGCCCUCAUCUACUCUAAUUCCAGACUGCUGGGACUACGGCUGCUCCUAACGCCAUACAGACUUCAUAUAAAUCCAUAAUGAACUUUUUCACAUUGAUUGUUGUUACCCAGAUGAGGAUGGGUUCCCUUCUGAGUCGGGUUCCUCUCAAGGUUUCUUCCUCUUAAAACAUCUUAGGGAGUUUUUCCUUGCCACCGUCGCCACUCAGUGUCUUGCUCAGUUGGGAUAAAUUCGCACCUUUAAUAUCUGUAUACCAUGUUGAUAUUUCUAUAAAGCUGCUUUGAGACAAUGUCUAUUGUAAAAAGCGCUAUACAAAUAAAAUUGAAUUGAAUUGAACUCUGACGACGAUCCGACGUCAUAACCGAUCUUAUGGCUCGCUGCUCCGAUUUCACUAUAUCUGUCUGUCUGUGUAUGUGUGUGCACGGCAACAUAGUUUAAACAAUAAUAAUACAUUCACAUUUUAUCAUGUACAUAGCAGUAUAUUCAUCAACAUCAUAAAGUACACACAUUCUUUUCUAAUAUAAUUUUAACAUUGUAAUCUUCUUCCCUAGUUCUGGAUCUUCUCGAGUGAAACAGAUGAGGCCACCUACGGAACGCAUUAAGUGACAUAGGAGCAGCGAUGAGAAUAGAAAUUAAUUUCUAAUGUUUAUGAAAUUUCAAAGAUUAAGAUUUCUUACCACAAAUACCGCUUCUGGGGAAAUUGCAGUUCCCGAGGGUGGACACACGAGGGCAGUCAAGCUCCACCCAACACAAGAUACAACGCCGCCCGG
Long non-coding RNA from Ictalurus punctatus (channel catfish), 3204 nucleotides. RefSeq lists it as uncharacterized. The transcript has 3 exons. NCBI's taxonomy places the organism in Eukaryota, Metazoa, Chordata, Actinopteri, Siluriformes, Ictaluridae. The record is from RefSeq and is a predicted model, not a curated record.